CCUGAGAAACCCGAAAGAUCGAAUGGGGAGAUUCAUCGUCAGCGAUUCUGGUACGUGUGCGGUUCGCGAUGUCUGAGACUUCGGUCUCGUGGCACGCGUCCGUAUGUUUUUUAUUGCUGGAGUCGUCGGCGUGCACUUCUCCCCUAGUAGGACGUCGCGACCCGUUGGGUGUCGGUCUACGGCACGGUAGGGUUAGCCUGUCACGUGUGGCGCUUCACGGCGUUACGCGGGGCAGACCUCCGUUCUCCCGACCGGCUGCCCGGCGGUACUCGCACGGUAUCUGGCCGCAGGCAUACGAACUGCGUCCGGCCCGUCGCAAGCGCGGCAAGUGUUUCCCGGCUGUACGGAUCUGAUGCCGUCAGUGGGCCUUGCCAGCUGUUGGUUGACGGUGUCCUAGGACUGGGCUAACAAAAUUAUGAUACCGGUCGGCGACGCUACUGCUUUGGGUACUUUCAGGACCCGUCUUGAAACACGGA
Molecule: ribosomal RNA, 476 nt
Filed under: Lophojoppa sp. BF000992
Lineage: Eukaryota; Metazoa; Arthropoda; Insecta; Hymenoptera; Ichneumonidae
Description: eukaryotic LSU rRNA
Source: RNAcentral